RNAcentral lists this long non-coding RNA (524 nucleotides) under Brassica napus (rape). RNAcentral's name for it is "long non-coding RNA (BNAP_LNC003014)". The record is from RNAcentral. Lineage: Eukaryota; Viridiplantae; Streptophyta; Magnoliopsida; Brassicales; Brassicaceae.
AUAGGGGAUCGGUGGAUAUGAUAGUCGUGGACAUGGGAUACGUGGACAACAGCUCUGUGGAUAGCAAACAACAACAUGAGUUAAGGGGAGUUGCAUGGAUUGGAGACUGGUAGAAGAUGAGUUUCGAUGUGUAUGAAGAUGGAUGGACAAGAGUUUCGUGGAUAGGAGAUCGGUGGAUAUGAUAGUCGUGGACAUGAGAUACGUGGACAACAACUCUGUGGAUAGCAAACAACAACAUGAGUUUCGAUGUGUAGAAGAUGGAUGGACAUGAGUUCCUUCGACAAGAGAUUCAGUGGAUAGGAUAGUGGUGGACAUGAGAUACGUGGACAACAGAUCUGUGGAUAUCAUGAGUGAUAUUUUACCGUGACAAUAAGAAAUUAGCACAUGAGAUUAUAUUAUGAUGAUAGUUCUCGGUUAGUCUGCUUAUGAAAAUUAAAAAUCAAAACUACAAUAAGAAGUAUUUAAAAGUAAAAAUCAAACUUUGUAUAUCGAAGGAUGAGAGUUUCUCAGCCAUUAAGGAUGGA